GAUGAACGCUGGCGGCGUGCCUAAUACAUGCAAGUCGAGCGAACAGACGAGGAGCUUGCUCCUCUGACGUUAGCGGCGGACGGGUCAGUAACACGUGGAUAACCUACCUAUAAGACUGGGAUAACUUCGGGAAACCGGAGCUAAUACCGGAUAAUAUAUUGAACCGCAUGGUUCAAUAGUGAAAGACGGUUUUGCUGUCACUUAUAGAUGGAUCCGCGCCGCAUUAGCUAGUUGGUAAGGUAACGGCUUACCAAGGCAACGAUGCGUAGCCGACCUGAGAGGGUGAUCGGCCACACUGGAACUGAGACACGGUCCAGACUCCUACGGGAGGCAGCAGUAGGGAAUCUUCCGCAAUGGGCGAAAGCUUGACGGAGCAACGCCGCGUGAGUGAUGAAGGUCUUCGGAUCGUAAAACUCUGUUAUUAGGGAAGAACAAAUGUGUAAGUAACUAUGCACGUCUUGACGGUACCUAAUCAGAAAGCCACGGCUAACUACGUG
This 497-nucleotide ribosomal RNA is filed under the name uncultured bacterium. RNAcentral's name for it is "partial 16S ribosomal RNA". It matches the Rfam family "Bacterial small subunit ribosomal RNA", at positions 28 to 507 of the family's 1533-position model. The record is from RNAcentral.